RNAcentral lists this ribosomal RNA (513 nucleotides) under uncultured Diversispora. RNAcentral describes it as "SSU rRNA". It matches the Rfam family "Eukaryotic small subunit ribosomal RNA", at positions 569 to 1081 of the family's 1831-position model. Lineage: Eukaryota; Fungi; Glomeromycota; Glomeromycetes; Diversisporales; Diversisporaceae. The record is from RNAcentral.
AGCAGCCGCGGUAAUUCCAGCUCCAAUAGCGUAUAUUAAAGUUGUUGCAGUUAAAAAGCUCGUAGUUGAACUUCGGGGUUUACCCAUUGGUCAGGCUUAAUUGUCUGUACUGGUGAGAUAAAUCUCUACCUUCUGAGGAACUUUCAUGUCAUUAAUUUGGUGUGAUUGGAAAUCAGGACUGUUACUUUGAAAAAAUUAGAGUGUUUAAAGCAGGCUAACGUCUGAAUACAUUAGCAUGGAAUAAUGAAAUAGGACGGACUGAUUCUAUUUCGUUGGUUUCUAGGAUCACCGUAAUGAUUAAUAGGGAUAGUUGGGGGCAUUAGUAUUCAAUUGUCAGAGGUGAAAUUCUUGGAUUUAUUGAAGACUAACUACUGCGAAAGCAUUUGCCAAGGAUGUUUUCAUUAAUCAAGAACGAAAGUUAGGGGAUCGAAGACGAUCAGAUACCGUCGUAGUCUUAACCAUAGACUAUGCCGACUAGGGAUCGGACGAAGUUAAUUUUAUAAUGACGCGUUC